This 493-nucleotide ribosomal RNA is filed under the name uncultured bacterium. RNAcentral's name for it is "partial 16S ribosomal RNA". It matches the Rfam family "Bacterial small subunit ribosomal RNA", at positions 27 to 507 of the family's 1533-position model. The record is from RNAcentral.
GAGUGAACGCUGGCGGUAGGCCUAACACAUGCAAGUCGAACGGCAGCACAGUAAGAGCUUGCUCUUACGGGUGGCGAGUGGCGGACGGGUGAGGAAUACAUCGGAAUCUACUUUUUCGUGGGGGAUAACGUAGGGAAACUUACGCUAAUACCGCAUACGACCUACGGGUGAAAGCAGGGGAUCUUCGGACCUUGCGCGAUUGAAUGAGCCGAUGUCGGAUUAGCUAGUUGGCGGGGUAAAGGCCCACCAAGGCGACGAUCCGUAGCUGGUCUGAGAGGAUGAUCAGCCACACUGGAACUGAGACACGGUCCAGACUCCUAAGGGAGGCAGCAGUGGGGAAUAUUGGACAAUGGGCGCAAGCCUGAUCCAGCCAUACCGCGUGGGUGAAGAAGGCCUUCGGGUUGUAAAGCCCUUUUGUUGGGAAAGAAAAGCAGCAGGUUAAUACCCCGCUGUUCUGACGGUACCCAAAGAAUAAGCACCGGCUAACUUCGUG